RNAcentral lists this small nuclear RNA (107 nucleotides) under Sciurus vulgaris (Eurasian red squirrel). Lineage: Eukaryota; Metazoa; Chordata; Mammalia; Rodentia; Sciuridae. The record is from RNAcentral.
GUGCUCGAUUUGGCAGCACAUAUACUAAAAUUGGAACGAUACAGAGAAGAUUAGCAUGGGCCCUGGGCAAGGAUGACACGCAAAUUUGUGAAGCGUUCCAUAUUUUU